CUCUGGUAAGCCUCCAACUGUCUAUGUUCUCUCUCUCUCCUUCCUCACCAAGGAUACAUUAUAGCAACUGGAAAGAACAGUUUGUCUCCUUGAAAGCAGAGGACAAACAAGGAUACCAGCUCCUAUAUUCCUAUCUUUUAGCUUAAAACUGGACAGGUAUGAAGAAAUAAAGAUGAUAAAGAGCAUUAAAUGUUAGAAGACCUGAGCAUCUGAGAAGACCUGAUAAACAGCGAUGUGAAAAUUUCCCAUUCAGUACUAUUUUUGCUGGGGAUUUCUUCUAGAAAAUGUUUUUCUUUGGCUCAUUUGUCACAGGACCACACUGCAUCAUUGAGAUGACACUAGAUAAUGAUGAAAGAAGCUGGACUUUAGACCCAACUGUGUUAAAAACUCCGAAUAGAGAUGUGAUUUUAACAUUUUAAGGAUUUACUUGUCCUUCUUUGUAUAUUAAAAGCUUAGGAUGCAAUAACACCUGUGCAAGAAUCUAACUCUAAAAUUUUGCAAGUUAAAAGCUAAGCUAGUGAUUGUGUUUUCUGGAGGCAAUAGCAUUAGACUAGAUUAGUUGUUUUUUUUCCUUUUUCAACAAAAUUUACUGGAAUGUAAUAUACAUAAAAUGCACACAUUAUAAAUGUACAGUUUGAUAAAUUUUGGCGAUGUGCACACCCAUAUAGCCAGAACCCAAUCACGACAAGAAAUCACUCCAGAAAGCUUCUUUUUCCUCUUUAGGGCCAAAUGUUACUACCUACCUCCCAUCCUACCUCAAGCAGUCACUUAUCUUAUUGAUUAUCAUUUGAGGAUAAUUAUUGAUUAAUUUUGGCUGUUCCAGAACUUACAUAAAUGGAAAAAUAUCAUUUGUAUUCUUCUGUUUCUGGCUUCUUAACUAUUUUUGAGAUUCAUUCAUCCUUAUUACUGCAUUUAUCAGCACUUUGUCCCUUAAUGCUGAGUAGCACACUGUUGAAAGAAUGCACCACAAUUUGUUUUCCAUUCUCCUGUUGAUGGAAACCAGAACUGAUUCUAGUUUAAGUUUCUUCUUUUUUUGAACUUAUAUUUUCAUUACUCUUGUAAAUGUAAACUCUUGUAAAAUAUCUAGGGUUAAAAUUACAAAAAUACUUUCCAG
Long non-coding RNA from Equus caballus (horse), 1114 nucleotides. The record is from Ensembl. Lineage: Eukaryota; Metazoa; Chordata; Mammalia; Perissodactyla; Equidae.